RNAcentral lists this non-coding RNA (227 nucleotides) under Erythrobacter sp. The record is from RNAcentral. Lineage: Bacteria; Pseudomonadati; Pseudomonadota; Alphaproteobacteria; Sphingomonadales; Erythrobacteraceae.
AUUGCGCAGCCCGCAACAGGUGCCCCGCGAGGGGCUCAAAAGGGAACCCGGACAUUGAUGCUGCGCCAGCGAUGGCUCAGCACAAAUGAGGCCGGGGCUGUGCCCGCAACUGUAGCCGGGGAGUUUCCGCCCCAUCACGCCACUGGCGCCGCUCGCGGGGCUGGGAAGGCAGGGCGGACAAUGUCGAUCCGGUAAGCCAGGAGACCUGCCUGCUGCGGUCGAUCCUU